RNAcentral lists this unclassified non-coding RNA (373 nucleotides) under uncultured fungus. RNAcentral's name for it is "partial contains 5.8S ribosomal RNA, internal transcribed spacer 2, and large subunit ribosomal RNA". The record is from RNAcentral. Lineage: Eukaryota; Fungi.
AACGCACCUUGCGCUUUCGGGUUAUUCCUGGAAGCAUGCUUGUUGGAGUAACUGUACACUCUCAACCCCACUUUUCUUAAUUGAAAGGCAGUUUGGGCAUUGGAUCAUGACGCUUUGUUGUCUCCUCGGAAACAACUGCGUUGAAAUACAGUCAAGCUGAAACGCAUCUUUGAUGAAAACCUUGCAGGCUUCGGCUAUACUAUUGUUGUAAAAACUUCGGUCAAUAGUGUUGUAUUGUUACCAGUCGAUUGAUACUACAAGUAAGCUUACCAGAAACUUUGGUUACCUCUCUCUACUAUUAAUUUAGUGUUGAGAUCAUCCAAAACUUUGUUGACUUGUUCUCCAAUCAAGUAGGACUACCCGCUGAACUUAA